CAGGUCGAAAAAACCGUAAGAAAAAAACUUAUAGAGAUAUCUUAAUAGUUCGGAUUUUGCAAAUAAAAGUGCACUCUGUACAAGACAAAUAGAAAAGAUCAUCUUAAAACCCGAAAUCGACGAAGACGUGUCCGCUCGUCUGGCUGUUUAAAGAGCGUUUACUUUCGAACGAGUAAAACAAAAUUUCGGGGAAGUAAAUGAAAUCUCAAACUAAAUUCACUUUUGCUUGAUAUGAUCACGUUUUACCUUGAAUAUUGCGCUGAGUUUGCCAAAACAAAUUGCAAGCUACAGCCCAAAUAGAAAAGUUAAUUUUUGGCACAAAAGUUCAGGAGUGGCACUGGCGAAUUGAAUCACGUGUAUAAUCUGACAAUGCUAAAUCUGGCUGGUACGCCCAUAGUCUACGAUUGUGUUCCCAAUGACGUAAAUCUGGAGAUCGAUGUAUAUGCCUGCCAUAUCUGAAUAUAGACCGA
Stomoxys calcitrans (stable fly) is the source of this 470-nucleotide long non-coding RNA. RefSeq lists it as uncharacterized. The transcript is spliced from 3 exons. The record is from RefSeq and is a predicted model, not a curated record. Lineage: Eukaryota; Metazoa; Arthropoda; Insecta; Diptera; Muscidae.